AACGAACGCUGGCGGCAUGCCUAACACAUGCAAGUCGAGCGAGCACUCCGGGUGUAGCGGCGCACGAGGGCGUAGCGAGGGGGGGCAUCCCGCUCUUCUCGGCAUAACACCCCGAAAGAGGUGGUACUACCGCCUAAUACGUUCGAACGCAGGAUAGGUUGUCUGCCGAAGGGUCGGCCCGCGUUUGAUUAGCUGGUUGGUAAGGUAACAACCCACCAAGGCGACGAUCCAUAGCUGGUCUGAGAGGAUGAUCAGCCACACUGGGACUGAGACACGGCCCAGACUCCUACGGGAGGCAGCAGUGGGGAAUAUUGGACAAUGGGCGAAAGCCUGAUCCAGCAAUGCCGCGUGAGUGAUGAAGGCCUUAGGGUUGUAAAGCUCUUUUACCCGGGAUGAUAAUGACAGUACCGGGAGAAUAAGCUCCGGCUAACUCCGUG
Molecule: ribosomal RNA, 437 nt
Filed under: uncultured bacterium
Lineage: Bacteria
Description: partial 16S ribosomal RNA
Rfam family: Bacterial small subunit ribosomal RNA
Source: RNAcentral